This 329-nucleotide unclassified non-coding RNA is filed under the name plant metagenome. Its description in RNAcentral is "partial contains 5.8S ribosomal RNA, internal transcribed spacer 2, and large subunit ribosomal RNA". The stretch from base 1 to 105 matches the Rfam family "5.8S ribosomal RNA", at positions 50 to 154 of the family's 154-position model. The record is from RNAcentral.
GAAAUGCGAUAAGUAAUGUGAAUUGCAGAAUUCCGUGAAUCAUCGAAUCUUUGAACGCACAUUGCGCCCUCUGGUAUUCCGGGGGGCAUGCCUGUCCGAGCGUCAUUGCGAACCCCUCAAGCACGGCUUGUGUGAUGGGCCCUCCCGCGUCUUGGUCGUCAAGACGGGCCCGAAAAGCAGUGGCGGCUUCGCGGUUAUCCGAUCAGCCAGAGCGUAUGGGGACUUUCUCUCUGUCACACGCCCGCGGCGCGGACCGACGCCUGUCGACCAUUAUUCAUCUUUUUCUCGGUUGACCUCGGAUCAGGUAGGGAUACCCGCUGAACUUAAGC